RNAcentral lists this ribosomal RNA (407 nucleotides) under uncultured bacterium. Its description in RNAcentral is "partial 16S ribosomal RNA". It matches the Rfam family "Bacterial small subunit ribosomal RNA", at positions 28 to 526 of the family's 1533-position model. The record is from RNAcentral.
GACGAACGCUGGCGGCGUGCCUAAUACAUGCAAGUAGAACGCAGUUGCGAACGGGUGAGUAACGCGUAGGUAACUGCCUGGUAGAGGGGGAUAACUAUUGGAAACGAUAGCUAAUACCGCAUACUACCAGAUGGACCUGCGUUGUAUUAGCUAGUUGGUGAGGUAACGGCACACCAAGGCAAAGAUACAUAGCCGACUGGAGAGUGUGAACGGUCACACUGGGACUGGUACACGGCUCAGACGCCUACGGGAGGCAGCAGUAGGGAAUCUUCGGAAAUGGGGGGAACCCUGGACGAGCAACGCCGCGGGAGUUAAGAAGGUUUUCGGAUCGUAAAGCUCUGUUGUUAAGGAAGCGGUACUUAACCAGAAAGGGACGGCUAACUACGUGCCAGCCGCCGCGGUAAUUC